CUGGCAUUGUUUCUCUGCCACUCUGAGUUGCAACCUGGAGGGCCUGGCCUUGCAUUGACUUUUUGCCACCUCUUUCAUCUCAGCUAGAUUCAACCAUCUAUUUAAGCCUUCUUAAAACUAACCAUUUGAUUAUCUGCAUUUAGAAGCUGCUUGCUGCUCAAGUUAUCAAUAGAGUUGAUUUACAUGAAAAUAUGGAUUGGAUGUGAGUUUUAGCUAAAUGUGCAGUCAUACGGCCUAAUGUGUGUUGAGGCAAGAACAGGUGCAGUGAUUAGCACAGUGGAGACUCCGAAACCCAGGGGUAAAUGCACUCUCUCUUUAGAUUCUCUCCAGGCUGCACCUCUCCAUUGUCCUGCUCUGUGCUCUGCUUGAAUGCUUUUGCCAGGCUGACAUGUUUCCUCGAAGUGUGAUAUGCCUCUUGCUUUCCUGGACAGGGGGAUAGAUUUGUGCGUGCGUUACUAUGUGCAUGUAGGAACAUCAGACUUCUGCUGAGAGUGGGAUCUGAAGUUGGAACUUCUGAAAGAAAGUGAACAGGGCAAUGUGCAGCACAGUGGAACAAUUGGGAGGCCAGGUGAUUCAGCACCCUGGCAUCUGUUUCAGCGAUGCAAAGCUUUUCAGGCCUGGUGGCGUGCAUCUAUCAUUUCAGGGCAAUGAGGCCUGGCUACAGGAUAGCUACAGGGGCUUGUGUGAUUGCUUGUAGACGUGAGUGGUUUGGUGGCAAGACAGUGAGGAGAGGCUGACUCAGAUGGCAGAAAAAGGAAUUGGGUUGGAUUCUUAGUCUAAACUGGAACAAGGGUACCCGGGUAAAACGGUCCGGGGGGGGGGGGAGUUUUGUCUGAAGGCCUAGAUGGGGGCUAAUGGGUCAUAUAACUCCCCCAAUGGUGUCCUGGUGGGUUUGGCCUAUUUGAUCCUGCGUCAUGGGGGGAAUCCUUUAUCUCUGGAUUGACCCUGGUGGAGUAAUCAACCAGCAAAUGGGUUAGUUGGUUCAGGAUCCAUACCCAAUGCCUAUGCCAAAGCCUACUGGCAUAUAUAAUCAAUAAAAUUGUGGCCAUUUUGAUCCCAAGUUGUUGUGCAAUGUCUUUAGUGCUGCUUUCACACCCCUUGCCCCUGGUAAGCCCUGCACCUGGGUCCUCAAGGUUGCUCAUGAAGGAAUGCGGCCUUUGGGCAGAAAAAGAGUCCUCACCCCCAUGUAGAACAAUCUGAGCUCCUUAGAGGAGGACUGAGAUAUAUAAUAUCUACCAGCACCAAUGAGACAUAGAUUGAAUUCCUACUCCCUCACCUCUGGAUUUUAUAGGUCACAGUCCUAGCGUAUUGUAACAUUUUGAGGUGGAUUUCCUAGCUCUCCAGAUGGAAUUGAAAUAUUAGCUACCCACAUUUACAGAAGUGUGAGAGACACCAGAUCAUAUGCUCAGAUCAUUCAAUUUCUCUUAAGGCAGAGAAUACAGCCUUGGCUGCAAUAUCCAUCAGGAGCAAACUGAUCUAUACAAUCUUCAAAUGGUUAAAUGAGCAUACACCGUACCUUUGAUGAAAGCGAAUUGUGCAGCAUGCCAGCUUGACAACAUAAUGAACAGGAAAUUGCACUCUCUGCCAGGCGGCAGAAGUUACUGGCACUGCUGCACCAAUGCUGGGGAAAUGCCCUUAUACAGCAGACACAGACACAGCACAUGUGUGAGAGUUUGGAUUUAAAGAAAAUGUGGCUAACUAGCUAUCCAGCUAGAUGAAAUGAAGGGAAGCUGUCUGUGGUGAGCCAUAGCUGGAAAAAAAAGCACCUGAUCACAGCCAGAGAUAAAAAGCCUGGAGAAUAUUUGGAACUGGAGGGUGUGGGGAAGAGAAGUACAGCACAGUGAGAGGCUGAAAGGCAGAGUAAGGAGAAAGUUUCCUCCACCUUUGGGGCUCAUGAGUGUCGCUUCUACAGCCUUGCCACCAUCACCACAUCUGGCUUCGUCAAAUGGAAGGCAC
Podarcis raffonei (Aeolian wall lizard) is the source of this 1956-nucleotide long non-coding RNA. RefSeq lists it as uncharacterized. The transcript has 6 exons. The record is from RefSeq and is a predicted model, not a curated record. Lineage: Eukaryota; Metazoa; Chordata; Lepidosauria; Squamata; Lacertidae.